GAUCCUGGCUCAGGAUGAACGCUAGCGGCAGGCUUAACACAUGCAAGUCGAGGGGCAGCAUAAUGGUAGCAAUACUAUUGAUGGCGACCGGCGGACGGGUGCGUAACGCGUAUGCAACCUACCCUUUACAGGGGGAUAACACUGAGAAAUCGGUACUAAUACCCCAUAAUAUUCUGGGAGGCAUCUUUCGGGGUUGAAAGCUUUGGUGUAAGGNUGGGCAUGCGUUGUAUUAGCUAGUUGGUAAGGUAACGG
This 252-nucleotide ribosomal RNA is filed under the name uncultured bacterium. RNAcentral's name for it is "partial 16S ribosomal RNA". It matches the Rfam family "Bacterial small subunit ribosomal RNA", at positions 15 to 263 of the family's 1533-position model. The record is from RNAcentral.